Long non-coding RNA from Felis catus (domestic cat), 3216 nucleotides. RefSeq lists it as uncharacterized. The record is from RefSeq and is a predicted model, not a curated record. The transcript is spliced from 4 exons. Lineage: Eukaryota; Metazoa; Chordata; Mammalia; Carnivora; Felidae.
CAGCACAGAGCCCGGCGCGGGCUCGAACCCACGAACCCCGAGAGCAUGACCUGAGCCGAAGUCGGACGCUCCACCGGACUGAGCCACCCAGGCACCCCGGAAAGCAUUUUUUAAUGUAAGCAAUCUCUGGAUUAUGAAACGUGGAUUUUAAAAAUUCUUUACACUUCUGUGUGUUUUGCAGAUUUUCUUCCAAUGACUAUGAAUUACCUUUAUACUUUAAUAAAAGCCUUUUCCUUCUAAGAAACAAAAAGCCUGAUUCUGAUUUCAGCCAGAAAAUGGUCUAUGGCCUUUGUCUGGGCCGACUUAGACCCGGGCUGAAUUCUGCCUAAUUCUGCUUUCUGAAAUGCUGCUGCUCUGUCGUUCUUGGCAGUAAAAGACCCUCCAGGCACUUGAGCAGCAGCCUUGCAAUCAGAGUCGUGAUUGCUAAGAGCUUCAAGCUUUGUUUGCAAGAGAAGAAGUUCUGAUUCUUUUCUUUAAAAGUUCCUACUCGCACUGAUUAAUCUUAUUUUUCAUGAAGUUAGAAGUGCUCUUGUGAACUUCCGGUUGUGUGAUGUCUUCUUUUUUAACCCCGUAGGUGUUCCCGAAGGCUUUCGGUCUCUACAGAGUUGGUGGGAGCCCCAGACAGGUUAAGGGUGGCUGUUGAGGAGUAGUUCACGUUCUAGGUGCUGCUGUGCUUGAUCCAAGCACACUCUUCCCCUCAGCCUCCCUUCCUGGGGAACUACCUGGGCAUUUGGGUGUUGUGGUCUGAUGCUCUCCUGAGCCUGAAACCCUUUGGACCCAUCUUCGGCCUGAAUCCGUGGAGCCUGAAUCCAGCCUCGGGCCACCCAACUCUCCAUCUCCCUCUCCCUCAGUCUCAGCCUUGUUUGCAGGUCAGAGCCAAGCAGGCUCCCCUCAGACAUGUCCCAUGACCUUGCUUCUCAGGUAGGGGCCUUAGCUCCCUUCCUCGGCCUCCUUUAUCUUUAUUCCCUAAAUAUAGGACUUCUAGGUGCUUAAGGACAUAGUUCUGCCCAAUCCAGCCCAGUCCUGGGCUGCUUUCUCUCUCCUCCAGAAAUGGAUCUGCAACCCGCGGCAGUGAACCCACAGAUCCACAGGCCCCACCCUAAUGUAAAGUCCUUGAAGUUCCGGUAACAAUGGAGUGUCACUCUGCCUGGUGGUAGAAUGUCCCCAAGAGAGUAGCACACCAGCCUCUGAGUGGAGGGCUGACCCUUGCCCGUGUUCAGCUUAGGCCAGACUUCAAGUGCUUGGCCUGGGCCCAGAGGCACCAGCCAUCCCUGCAGCCCCUCCCCCGGGGGAGUAAUACCUACCUCCCCGGAUUUCUUUGGGACCACCACUGGCUACACUGUCUUCUGGUGAAACAAAAUCUUGGCAUCCUGGUUCCUUACAUAAUGGGGCCGGCAUUCCCACGUAUGCAAUUCCGUAGCCACUUCUGAGAGGCUCAUAGGACGCCCAGCUGUGAUAGAAAGGAUAUAUUGAUGUCCCUUCCUGGGGAGAUCCAAGACUUCCUUUACCCAUUGCGAUCCCACCCCAGGGCGUUCACAUGCCAUGUUCUGCUUCUGUCCUGGGGUUUACACAGAACGAUGCCCUGCCAUAGAUCCAGUUCCAAGAGGACUCAGAGAUGCUAACCUAAAUCUCAGAAUGGUCUGCCGCUGGUGAAGGAGUCACUGCUGAGAGGUACCUGUGUCAGGCUGGGCACAAGGGACAGCUAGAGACCCUGCGCCCCGCGGAAAGGCCCAGGGGCACAGGACUUGCCUGAGACUGAGGCUGGACCAGGAGAGUCAAGGACCGCAACCUGCCGCCCAUCACAGCCUAGCAACAAGCAGCAAGCAGUCUGUUGUUGAGGAGGAGACAAGACGGUGGAGAGAAACUCCACUCGAUGGUAAAACAGAAGGAAGAAACAUUUCCUAACUCAUGUUGUUAGGCCAUCAUUGCCUUGAUAACAGAACUGGACAAAGACAUUACAAGAAAAGAAAACUAAAUGCCAAUAGCUUUCGCGAAGAUAGUCACAAACAUUCUUAACGCUGUGGGGUUUCUAAUAUUAUCUCAAAGUGAACUGUGGGAACCAGUGAUCCUCCAAGGUAGGCAACAGGGGCCAGGACAGUACUAUCCGGUUGACUCUGUCCGGGGACAAUCCGCGUUUGAUUUCUGCUGCACCGUUGGUGGUGAAGACUCCUGCUUUCUAUACGGCUGGUACCAACAUGGCGAAGAGAAAGAAUGAACUCGCAGGCAUGGGAGAAUGAGACUCCCCAGGAGUGCUCUGAGCAGACCUGGAUUCCCACAGAGCACAGCAGAGCCCUGCCCAGUGGCCCAUGGGAUAAACCACAGGCUGCGAUUUUUCAUGAUGGGGAAAGAGGGAAGAAGAAAGAAAAGUCUGUGCAUUCUUUUAACUGCUGUGGCUGAUAAGGGAUUUUAAAAGAAGUUUCAUAUCUGGGUUUCACAAUUUGUCCUGGCAUUUACUGCUUGUUCAGAUGCUCUCUGCUCCUUAUCUGGACUGUAGAGAUGGCUUCCAAGUCAGUGUCUCUUUUUUCAGGAUCCUGAUUUUCCUCCAGUCCUUCUCUUGACAGUGAAAGACUUCAGUCCUGACCCCACCCUUCCUUAAGUCAUAAAAGUCAUGUUUGUUGACACGAUGGAAGUGGAAAGUAACAACUUAGAGCACCCCUCUAGCUACCCCCACACAGACCCAUUUCUCUCUUCACUUGCAUUUAGGGGUCAGGCAGGAAACAAUUUAGAGAAGCAAAGGGUGGAAGAGAAUCGAGAGUUAAGAGGACUGUAGGGGAGCCCUUCCUAAGGCAUUCAAAUUGAAAUUUUAAACAAAACAACCCAAUAAACAAAUCUCCCUGUGGACCAAAUUUGUCCCUAAUCUGCCAGUUUGUCACAUCUAGAUCUUUCCAGGCAUUUCUAAUCCAUAUAUACAAAUAUAUCCAUAUUGUAAAUAUAUAUAUAUUUAGAUACAUAAUACAUGGAUGUUUUCAUAUAAGUAGGAUUAUAAUAGACAUACGGUUUGAACCUUGCUUUUCAUGUACAUCGAGAAGCUUUAGGUAUUAGAUAGCCUCGUAAGUUGCACCUAUAGAUGGACAUUUAGCUCGUUUUCAGUUGAAAAAAUUUUCCCCAAAUAAUGCACCAUUGUUCAUCCUUGAACACAUGUCAAGGAAUAUACACAUAGGAUAAAUUUGGCAAAGUGGAAUUGCUGGGUCAAUUUCGAUAGCUGUUGCCAAAAUG